This 780-nucleotide unclassified non-coding RNA is filed under the name Hevea brasiliensis (rubber tree). The record is from RNAcentral. Lineage: Eukaryota; Viridiplantae; Streptophyta; Magnoliopsida; Malpighiales; Euphorbiaceae.
UUAAUAUUCAUUGUAAUUAUUAUUUUAUCCAUAAAUUUUAACAUUAUAAAUACUUUUAUUCUUUAGUUCAUUAACUAAUGAUUAAAUUAAUAAGGAUUCAAAUAUUAAAUAUAGAGAAAAAAAUAUCCUAAAUAUUUAAGCCGUGAUGGGUGAGAAUUUAAAGGCUGCUUUAGCAAGUAAUGACAAACAAGACGCAAUCAGCUCAACCACCAACGACUUAAAAGCCUUUCAUCACUGAAGCCAUGCCAUGCCAUUCCAUAACUUUUUCCGAGUGUAUUGCCCUUCACAGAUGUUGCACAAGUUUCAAGUUUAAACCUUUCUUCACGUCAAGGCUAAUUCUGCUGCAUGAUAAGAACCCUAAGACAAAGAUUAGAGCUACAGAUUCCACACAACUAAGCGUAACAUGAGAAGAAGAAAAGGGAGGAAUGAUGGAAGCUCAACUCCAAAAAAAAUACAACAUCAAUUGAAUUUUCUGUUCUGCUAAGACACCAAUAUAACCUGUAAUUUAAAUGACUCGUGUCAUCAACUCCUUUUCCAAUACACAAGGAAAAACUGAAAAAGCAUCACCUUUGCCCUUGCCCAUCCUCUCCCUCUCCAUAUGCCCGAUCACUGCAAUGAGAUCCUGUUUUUACUCUCUAGAAUAAAGAACCAUGCAAUGAGUCAAACCUGCAGUACCAAUGUAGCAACACAGCGCACCAUCUAAGUGGGCUGAAUAGGAGGACGUAUGAAAUUUUGUGAACCAGCAACUAAUUAGUUAUUCCACUCUGUUAGUGCAUGAUA